RNAcentral lists this ribosomal RNA (238 nucleotides) under uncultured bacterium. RNAcentral's name for it is "partial 16S ribosomal RNA". It matches the Rfam family "Bacterial small subunit ribosomal RNA", at positions 96 to 334 of the family's 1533-position model. The record is from RNAcentral.
UGGCGGACGGGUGAGUAACGCGUGGGUAACCUUCCUUGUACUGGGGGACAACAGUUAGAAAUGACUGCUAAUACCGCAUAAGCGCACAGUAUCGCAUGAUACAGUGUGAAAAACUCCGGUGGUACAAGAUGGACCCGCGUCUGAUUAGCUAGUUGGUAAGGUAACGGCUUACCAAGGCGACGAUCAGUAGCCGACCUGAGAGGGUGACCGGCCACAUCGGGACUGAGACACGGCCCAA